This 427-nucleotide ribosomal RNA is filed under the name uncultured Clostridia bacterium. Its description in RNAcentral is "bacterial SSU rRNA". It matches the Rfam family "Bacterial small subunit ribosomal RNA", at positions 9 to 418 of the family's 1533-position model. The record is from RNAcentral. Lineage: Bacteria; Bacillati; Bacillota; Clostridia.
GAGUUUGAUCAUGGCUCAGAACGAACGCUGGCGGCGUGCCUAACACAUGCAAGUCGAACGAAGCGCUUGAAUGGAAUUCUUCGGAAGGAAGCUCGAGUGACUGAGUGGCGGACGGGUGAGUAACGCGUGGGUAACCUGCCUUGUACAGGGGGAUAACAGUCAGAAAUGGCUGCUAAUACCGCAUAAGCGCACAGAGCUGCAUGGCUCAGUGUGAAAAACUCCGGUGGUAUAAGAUGGACCCGCGUUGGAUUAGCUGGUUGGUGGGGUAACGGCUCACCAAGGCGACGAUCCAUAGCCGGCCUGAGAGGGCGAACGGCCACAUUGGGACUGAGACACGGCCCAGACUCCUACGGGAGGCAGCAGUGGGGAAUAUUGCACAAUGGGGGAAACCCUGAUGCAGCGACGCCGCGUGAAGGAAGAAGUAUCU